UAAGCGCUGAAAGCAUAUUAAGCGCGAAGCCCACUCCAAGAUAAGAAUUCCCUAUGACCUCCCAGAAAGAUGAUCUGGUUGAUAGGCGCAAGGUGGAAGCAUGGCAACAUGUGGAGCCGAAGCGUACUAAUAGGUCCAUCGCCUUUUUAUG
Molecule: ribosomal RNA, 151 nt
Filed under: Candidatus Saccharimonadota bacterium
Lineage: Bacteria; Candidatus Saccharimonadota
Description: partial 23S ribosomal RNA
Rfam family: Bacterial large subunit ribosomal RNA
Source: RNAcentral